UACGAAGGGGGCUAGCGUUGCUCGGAAUCACUGGGCGUAAAGCGCACGUAGGCGGAUCUUUAAGUCAGGGGUGAAAUCCUGGAGCUCAACUCCAGAACUGCCUUUGAUACUGAGGAUCUCGAGUCCGGGAGAGGUGAGUGGAACUGCGAGUGUAGAGGUGAAAUUCGUAGAUAUUCGCAAGAACACCAGUGGCGAAGGCGGCUCACUGGCCCGGUACUGACGCUGAGGUGCGAAAGCGUGGGGAGCAAACGGG
RNAcentral lists this ribosomal RNA (253 nucleotides) under uncultured bacterium. RNAcentral's name for it is "partial 16S ribosomal RNA". It matches the Rfam family "Bacterial small subunit ribosomal RNA", at positions 524 to 776 of the family's 1533-position model. The record is from RNAcentral.